This 467-nucleotide ribosomal RNA is filed under the name uncultured bacterium. RNAcentral's name for it is "partial 16S ribosomal RNA". It matches the Rfam family "Bacterial small subunit ribosomal RNA", at positions 28 to 506 of the family's 1533-position model. The record is from RNAcentral.
GACGAACGCUGGCGGCGUGCUUAACACAUGCAAGUCGAACGGAAAGGCCCUACUUUUGUGGGGUGCUCGAGUGGCGAACGGGUGAGUAACACGUGAGUAACCUGCCCUUGACUUUGGGAUAACUUCAGGAAACUGGGGCUAAUACCGGAUAGGAGCUCCUGCUGCAUGGUGGGGGUUGGAAAGUUUCGGCGGUUGGGGAUGGACUCGCGGCUUAUCAGCUUGUUGGUGGGGUAGUGGCUUACCAAGGCUUUGACGGGUAGCCGGCCUGAGAGGGUGACCGGCCACAUGGGGACUGAGAUACGGCCCAGACUCCUACGGGAGGCAGCAGUGGGGAAUAUUGCACAAUGGGCGGAAGCCUGAUGCAGCAACGCCGCGUGCGGGAGGACGGCCUUCGGGUUGUAAACCGCUUUCGCCUGUGACGAAGCGUGAGUGACGGGAAUGGGGAAAGAAACACCGGCUAACUACGG